AAAUUGAAGAGUUUGAUCAUGGCUCAGAUUGAACGCUGGCGGCAGGCCUAACACAUGCAAGUCGAACGGUAACAGGAAGCAGCUUGCUGAUUCGCUGACGAGUGGCGGACGGGUGAGUAAUGUCUGGGAAACUGCCUGAUGGAGGGGGAUAACUACUGGAAACGGUAGCUAAUACCGCAUAAUGUCGCAAGACCAAAGAGGGGGACCUUC
This 210-nucleotide ribosomal RNA is filed under the name Escherichia coli. RNAcentral describes it as "partial 16S ribosomal RNA". It matches the Rfam family "Bacterial small subunit ribosomal RNA", at positions 1 to 218 of the family's 1533-position model. The record is from RNAcentral. Lineage: Bacteria; Pseudomonadati; Pseudomonadota; Gammaproteobacteria; Enterobacterales; Enterobacteriaceae. RNAcentral also lists the same sequence under 1 other name.